GUUGGCAUGUCGUAGCUGACUCCACGACGCCGCGUGAGGGAUGAAUGGCUUUCGGGUUGUAAACCCCUUUUCUCAGGGAAGAACAAUGACGGUACCUGAGGAAUAAGUCUCGGCUAACUACGUGCCAGCAGCCGCGGUAAUACGUAGGAGGCGAGCGUUAUCCGGAUUUACUGGGCGUAAAGCGGGCGUAGGCGGUCCUUCAAGUCGGAUGUAAAAUCUCCCGGCUCAACUGGGAGGGACCAUUCGAAACUGCUGGACUUGAGGAUAGCAAAGGGAGGUGGAAUUCCCGGUGUAGUGGUGAUAUGCGUAUAUAUCGGGAGGAACACCAGUGGCGAAGGCGGCCUCCUGGGCUAUUUCUGACGCUGAGGCCCAAAAGCGUGGGGAGCGAACAGGAUUAAAUACCCUGGUAGUCCACGCUGUAAACGAUGGACACUAGGUAUGGGGAGUAUCGACCCUCUCUGUGCCGAAGCUAACGCCUUAAGUGUCCCGCCUGGGGACUACGGCCGCAAGGCUAAAACUCAAAUGAAAUUGACGGACUAAUUCUCUGAUGGUGUUGGGGGG
Molecule: ribosomal RNA, 561 nt
Filed under: uncultured bacterium
Lineage: Bacteria
Description: bacterial SSU rRNA
Rfam family: Bacterial small subunit ribosomal RNA
Source: RNAcentral